This 75-nucleotide transfer RNA is filed under the name Nanoarchaeum equitans Kin4-M. Its description in RNAcentral is "tRNA-Pro (TGG) (tRNA-Pro-TGG-1-1)". It matches the Rfam family "tRNA". Rfam says of the family: Transfer RNA (tRNA) molecules are approximately 80 nucleotides in length. Their secondary structure includes four short double-helical elements and three loops (D, anti-codon, and T loops). Lineage: Archaea; Nanobdellati; Nanobdellota; Candidatus Nanoarchaeia; Nanoarchaeales; Nanoarchaeaceae. The record is from Rfam by way of RNAcentral.
GGGCCCGUAGUCUAGCCUGGCUAGGACGCCGGGUUUGGGUCCCGGAGGUCCGGGGUUCGAAUCCCCGCGGGCCCA